This 305-nucleotide ribosomal RNA is filed under the name uncultured bacterium. RNAcentral's name for it is "bacterial SSU rRNA". It matches the Rfam family "Bacterial small subunit ribosomal RNA", at positions 336 to 639 of the family's 1533-position model. The record is from RNAcentral.
UUCCUACGGGGGGCAGCAGUGAGGAAUAUUGGUCAAUGGGAGAGAUCCUGAACCAGCCAAGCCGCGUGAGGGAAGACGGCCCUAUGGGUUGUAAACCUCUUUUGUCAGGGAGCAAAGGGCGCCACGUGUGGCGCUUUGCGAGUACCUGAAGAAAAAGCAUCGGCUAACUCCGUGCCAGCAGCCGCGGUAAUACGGAGGAUGCGAGCGUUAUCCGGAUUUAUUGGGUUUAAAGGGUGCGCAGGCGGAAUGUCAAGUCAGCGGUAAAAUUUCGGGGCUCAACCCCGUCGUGCCGUUGAAACUGGCGU